AUGGCUGGAUUCGCUGAUGCACUAAGGCCGGAUAAGUUUACCGGUGUGCACUUUAAGAGGUGGCAGGUGAAGACCACGCUCUGGCUUACUGCUCUGAAAGUUUUCCACGCUAGUGUUGGUGCUCCAGAGGGAAUGACCGACGAAGAUCGGAGAAAAUUCCAGGAAGCCAAUACUAUGUUUGUGGGAUGCAUUCUGAGUGUUCUUGCUGACCGUCUGUGUGAUGUGUACAUGCACAUAAACGACGGAAAAAUUCUGUGGGAUGCACUGAAUGCAAAAUUCGGUGCAACAGAUGCAGGCAGUGAACUGUACAUCAUGGAGAGUUUUCAUGACUACAAGAUGGUGAAUAACCGUUCUGUGGUUGAACAAGCUCAUGAGAUACAGUGCAUUGUGAAGGAACUUGAACUCCUUAAAUGUGUUCUACCCGACAAAUUCGUGGUUGGGUGCAUGAUUGCAAAGUUGCCUCCUUCAUGGAGGAAUUUCGCCACAACUCUGAAGCAUAAGAGACAGGAGAUAUCAGUUGAAAAUCUGAUUGCAUCUCUUGAUGUUGAAGAAAAAGCUCGGGCUAAAGAUACCACUGAAAAAGGAGGUGAGGUUCAGCCUACUGCUAACAUGGUGCAGAGGUAUCCACAGAACAAGAACAAAGGGAAGAACAAACCUGUUGUCAACAAGCCUACCAAGACUACUACCUUCAAGAAGAAGAAGUUCAACAAGGCUGAGCUAGAGUGCUACGUCGCAAGGGAUUCUUCCGUCCUAAUGGGGAAUGGGUCACAUGCUUCUGUACGUGGCAUUGGCACGGUGGAUCUGAAGUUUACUUCGGGAAAGAUCGUGCAACUAAGGAACGUGCAGCAUGUCCCUACUAUGAACAAGAAUCUAGUUAGCGGCUCCCUUCUAUGUCGAGAUGGAUUUAAGGUAGUUUUAGAGUCCAAUAAAGUAAUCGUGUCAAGAUUUGGACAAUUUAUAGGAAAAGGCUAUGAGUGCGGAGGCUUGUUCCGCUUUUCUCUUUCAGAUUUUUGCAAUAAGUCAAUAAACCAAAUUUGUGCUAGUGUUAAUGAUGAUGCAAGUAUUUGGCACUCUCGUUUAUGUCAUAUUAAUUUUGGUUUAAUGUCUCGGCUAUCCAGCAUGAGUUUAAUUCCGAACUUCACAGUUGCCAAAGGUUUUAAGUGCCAUAGUUGUGUGCAAUCUAAGCAACCUCGAAAGCCUCAUAAGGCUGCCGAGGAGAGAAACUUGGCGCCUCUAGAACUCAUACAUUCUGAUCUUUGUGAGAUGAAUGGUGUGUUGACAAAAGGUGGAAAGAGAUAUUUCAUGACUUUGAUUGAUGAUGCGACUAGAUUUUGCUAUGUUUAUUUGUUGCAAACUAAAGAUGAAGCAUUAGACUACUUUAAAAUCUAUAAAGCUGAAGUUGAAAAUCAACUAGAGAGAAAGAUCAAGCGUCUUAGGUCCGAUCGUGGUGGAGAGUAUUUUCCAAAAGUUUUUGAUGAAUUUUGUGAGGAACAUGGUAUUAUUCAUGAGAGGACGCCUCCCUAUUCACCUCAAUCAAAUGGAGUGGCCGAGAGGAAAAACCGCACAUUGACUGACUUGGUGAAUGCCAUGUUAGACACUGCUGGUUUAUCUAAGGCAUGGUGGGGGGAGGCUCUAUUGACUUCAUAUCAUGUCCUGAAUAGAGUUCCCAACAAUAACAAAGAGAAAACCCCUUAUGAGGAGUGGGUUGGGAGAAAACCAUCACUUUCUUAUUUGCGCACUUGGGGAUGUUUGGCAAAGGUCAAUAUUACUAUUCCUAAGAAACGCAAACUUGGACCAAAGACAGUGGAUUGUGUCUUUCUAGGGUAUGCUCAACGGAGCAUUGCUUAUAGGUUUUUAGUGGUAAAAUCUGAAGUACCUGAUAUGCAUGUUGAUACUAUAAUGGAAUCUCGUGAUGCAACAUUUUUUGAGAACAUAUUUCCUAUGAAAGAUAUGCAUAGCAUUGCUAGAUUUUCUUCUGAGAUAAUUCCUGAAUCUAGUACAACUGAUGAAUAUUUCGAACAAUCACAUGAGGAAGUCCUUGAGAAGGAUAACAAUGAAGUUCCUAGAAGGAACAAGAGACAAAGGAUUGCAAAAUCCUUUGGUGAUGAUUUCAUUGUAUACCUUGUGGACGACAGACCCAAGACGAUUGCAGAAGCAUAUGCAUCUCCGGAUGUAGAUGAUUGGAAAGAAGCUGUUCAUAAUGAAAUGGACUCAAUUCUUUCUAAUGGAACUUGGGAACUAACUGAUAGACCAUAUGGUUGUAAACAUGUGGGCUAUAAGUGGGUGUUCAAAAAGAAGCUAAAGCCUGAUGGUACUAUUGAUAAGUACAAGGCGCGGCUAGUGGCCAAGGGCUACACUCAGAAAGAAGGCGAAGAUUACUUUGACACCUAUUCACCCGUUGCUAGAAUGACCACCAUUCGAGUGUUACUUUCCUUGGCUGCCUCUUAUGGUCUUAUCAUUCAUCAAAUGGAUGUAAAGACAACUUUUCUCAAUGGAGAGUUGGAAGAGGAGAUCUAUAUGGAUCAGCCUGACGGGUUUGUGGUAAAGGGUGAAGAGAGAAAGGUGUGCAAGUUGUUAAAAUCUUUGUACGGUCUGAAACAGGCACCUAAGCAAUGGCAUGAGAAGUUUGAAAGAACUUUGACUUCUGCAGGAUUUGUCAUUAACGAGGCUGAUAGGUGUGUUUACUAUCGCCAUGGUGGGGGCAAUAGUGUCAUAUUAUGUUUGUAUGUGGACGACAUACUGAUCUUUGGUACAAACAUUAAUGCAAUUAAUGAGGUCAAGUCUUCUCUAUCAAAAAGUUUUGACAUGAAAGAUCUGGGAAAAGCCGAUGUAAUUCUAAACAUCAAACUUAUUAAGGAUGAGAGUGGGAUUACAUUAACGCAAUCUCACUAUGUUGAGAAGGUCUUGAACCGAUUCGGUUUUAUGGAUAGCAAGCCUUCUCCAACACCUUAUGAUCCCAGCGUGACACUCAGAAAGAACAAGAAAGAAACGAGAGAUCAAUUAAGAUACUCUCAAAUUGUCGGUUCACUCAUGUACUUAGCUAGCGCUACAAGACCAGAUAUCUCUUUUGCUGUGAGCAAACUGAGUAGGUUCAUGUCCAACCCGGGUGAUGAUCAUUGGCAUGCACUAGAAAGGGUCUUGCACUAUCUGAGAGGUACUAUGAGUUACGGAAUUACUUAUUCAGGGCAUCCUGCUGUGCUAGAAGGAUAUAGUGAUUCAAAUUGGAUCUCCGAUGUUGAUGUACUUUACGCAACAAGUGGGUAUGUAUUUACUCAUGGUGGUGGCGCAGUGUCAUGGAGGUCUUGCAAGCAAACCAUAUUGACGAGGUCAACUAUGGAAGCAGAAUUAACUGCUUUGGACACAGCUACUGUUGAGGCAGAAUGGCUGCGUGAGCUCUUGAUGGACUUGCCGGUUGUUGAAAAACCUGUACCGGCUAUUCUUAUGAAUUGUGAUAACCAAACGGUUAUCGCUAAAGUGAACAAUUCUAAAGAUAAUGCAAAGUCAUCAAGACAUGUGAAAAGACGUUUGAAGUCUGUCAGGAAGUUGAGAAACUCCGGAGUAAUAACUGUUACAUAUAUACAAACAGACAAAAACCUGGCAGAUCCCUUUACAAAGGGACUAUCACAAAAUGUGAUAGAUAUUGCAUCGAGGGAGAUGGGUAUGAGACCCAUA
This 3672-nucleotide ribosomal RNA is filed under the name Triticum aestivum (bread wheat). Its description in RNAcentral is "partial small subunit ribosomal RNA". Lineage: Eukaryota; Viridiplantae; Streptophyta; Magnoliopsida; Poales; Poaceae. The record is from RNAcentral.